UAGGGAAUAUUGGACAAUGGGCGCAAGCCUGAUCCAGCCAUGCCGCGUGAGUGAAGAAGGCCCUCGGGUUGUAAAGCUCUUUUGUCCGGAAAGAAAAGCAUUCGGUGAAUACCCGGAUGUUCUGACGGUACCGGAAGAAUAAGCACCGGCUAACUUCGUGCCAGCAGCCGCGGUAAUACGAAGGGUGCAAGCGUUACUCGGAAUUACUGGGCGUAAAGCGUGCGUAGGUGGUUGUUUAAGUCUGAUGUGAAAGCCUGGGGCUCAACCUGGGAAUGGCAUUGGCAACUGGGCUGCUAGAGUGCGGUAGAGGGUAGUGGAAUUCCCGGUGUAGCAGUGAAAUGCGUAGAGAUCGGGAGGAACAUCUGUGGCGAAGGCGACUGCCUGGACCAGCACUGACACUGAGGCACGAAAGCGUGGGGAGCAAACA
Molecule: ribosomal RNA, 427 nt
Filed under: uncultured bacterium
Lineage: Bacteria
Description: bacterial SSU rRNA
Rfam family: Bacterial small subunit ribosomal RNA
Source: RNAcentral